ACCUCUUCCUGCGAUGAGCUCGGCACGGGAAUUAUUAUUGUCAAUUUUACUUGCAAGAAGUUUCCUACAAGAGCCAAGGAAUCCAUGCGAGUAAACAUUUACGGGCACCAUAGAUAAAAGGCUUGUGUUUUAAUCCUCAUCCUCUCCACCUGUUAGCUCUGAGUCUCAGUUUUCUCAUCUCUAAAAAUGGGGAUAUUCACAGGAGUUGCUGCAUCGAGUUGUGAGGAUUAAAAGUUGGAUGUAACGGCUUGGUAAUUAUGAGCUCUUCUAGUGUCCCUUCCUCUUCCCUGUGCCCAAGGGGUUUUAGGAAAGCAUUUUAUCUCCACAGCAAUCCUAUGAGGUUGAUACUACUAUCCUCAUAGAAGGGGAAACUGAUGCCAGGAGAGGUUCAAGCGUCUUACCUGAAGUCACAAAGCAAACUGAGUGAUGAAGGAAGACUUGAACCUAGAAAAUUUCACUGCAAAGGAGUAAAAGUCCCUCGCAAUUUCCGACUGUUGGAAGAACUCGAAGAAGGCCAGAAAGGAGUAGGAGAUGGCACAGUUAGCUGGGGUCUAGAAGAUGACGAAGACAUGACACUUACAAGAUGGACAGGGAUGAUAAUUGGGCCUCCAAGAGUCUGCCGUGCACCUGUAUCCUAGUUCCUUGGGCCAUUCAGCAAAGGUCCCUGGCAAGCCUGUCAGCUCCUGGUCUAUUCCAGGCACUACUAGACCCAGAGGCCUUUGCAAAGAAGACGAAGACAAUGAGGAUGGGGAAAAGUGGCCUCUUUCAGACCUUCCUGAUUUGUGAGAGUUCCCAGUCUUCAUAAUGCCAGCCAACCGUUUUUUGAGGACACAUAGUAAACCCUCAAGAAAUGUCUCUUAACUCUCACAAGACCCCAUUGUUAGGUGCAAUUGCAUUCCAUUUCACAGAUGAGGAGACAGACUCAGAGGAGUCAGAUCUCUUGCCCAAAGUCACAUAGCUGGUAACCCCCAAACCAGAUCUGACUCCAGAGCCUGUGCUCUUAACCACUGUGCUGUGGUGUCUCCCUUUUGUUUACAUUUUGAGUUUUCAUCUGUUACCAUUAUAGAAGAUACUAAUCAAGUAGUAACUUGAUGU
RNAcentral lists this long non-coding RNA (1095 nucleotides) under Homo sapiens (human). RNAcentral's name for it is "non-protein coding lnc-TMEM189-UBE2V1-4:2". The record is from RNAcentral. Lineage: Eukaryota; Metazoa; Chordata; Mammalia; Primates; Hominidae.